Molecule: ribosomal RNA, 497 nt
Filed under: uncultured bacterium
Lineage: Bacteria
Description: partial 16S ribosomal RNA
Rfam family: Bacterial small subunit ribosomal RNA
Source: RNAcentral
GAUGAACGCUGGCGGCGUGCCUAAUACAUGCAAGUCGAGCGAACGGACGAGAAGCUUGCUUCUCUGAUGUUAGCGGCGGACGGGUGAGUAACACGUGGAUAACCUACCUAUAAGACUGGGAUAACUUCGGGAAACCGGAGCUAAUACCGGAUAAUAUUUUGAACCGCAUGGUUCAAAAGUGAAAGACGGUCUUGCUGUCACUUAUAGAUGGAUCCGCGCUGCAUUAGCUAGUUGGUAAGGUAACGGCUUACCAAGGCAACGAUGCAUAGCCGACCUGAGAGGGUGAUCGGCCACCCUGGAACGGAGACACGGUCCAGACUCCUACGGGAGGCAGCAGUAGGGAAUCUUACGCAAUGGGCGAAAGCCUGACGGAGCAACGCCGCGUGAGUGAUGAAGGUCUUCGGAUCGUAAAACUCUGUUAUUAGGGAAGAACAUAUGUGUAAGUAACUGUGCACAUCUUGACGGUACCUAAUCAGAAAGCCACGGCUAACUACGUG